This 604-nucleotide small RNA is filed under the name Kendrickiella phycomyces. Its description in RNAcentral is "eukaryotic LSU rRNA". The stretch from base 226 to 379 matches the Rfam family "5.8S ribosomal RNA". The record is from RNAcentral. Lineage: Eukaryota; Fungi; Ascomycota.
GCGGAAGGGAUCAUUAGCGAGUUCACAGCGACUCCCAACCCGUGCAUACCUUACCGCAUCUUCUGAGAGCGCCCGUUGCCUCCUGGCGGGCGGCGCGCCCUCCCUAAGCCCCUCUGCGGGGUGCGGGGGGGGCGCCCGCCCGCCGGGGGCGCGGCGCGGCCGCUCUCCCACCGAACCUUCUAUUAGUAUACCUUUACCGUCUGAGCAAAACCACUGAAUCGUUAAAACUUUCAACAACGGAUCUCUUGGUUCUGGCAUCGAUGAAGAACGCAGCGAACUGCGAUAAGUAAUGCGAAUUGCAGAAUUCAGCGAGCCAUCGAAUCUUUGAACGCACAUUGCGCCCGCCAGCAUUCUGGCGGGCAUGCCUGUCCGAGCGUCAUUUCCUCCCUCACGCAGCGCGCCUGCGUGGUGUUGGGGCGUUUCUGCGGCCAGGCCUGCGCCUAGCAGGCCUCCGCAGCCCCCGAAAGCCAGUGGCGGGCCGGCAGCGGGCUCCGAGCGCAGUAAGCAGCAGUGCCCUCGCUCUGGACGCCUCCGCCUGCGCCCUGCCCCAAAUGACCGGCAGACGCAAGUCUGCCCCUCCUUCUCAAGGUUGACCUCGGAUCAG